RNAcentral lists this long non-coding RNA (22555 nucleotides) under Manihot esculenta (cassava). RNAcentral's name for it is "long non-coding RNA (MESC_LNC011703)". The record is from RNAcentral. Lineage: Eukaryota; Viridiplantae; Streptophyta; Magnoliopsida; Malpighiales; Euphorbiaceae.
UUUGUUUUUAUUUGAUUUCUAAGUUUCUUUUUUGGUUUAAGCUUGCUUGUGCUUCCUUUACAUUGCUGGAGUAUUGUUUGCUUGUGUCUAUACUCUAGGUGAUAUUUUUCAAGUAGCACAAAACCUAGUUCAUGUGUUACUUUCCAAAUUGUCAGUGUCUUCUUUCUAGUUUUUGCGCGCUUCCUUCUUUCUUUAGGAUUUCUUCUUUGUUUCAUUAAACGCACCUUGUGGUUAGUUGGUUGACCUUAGUUUCUGAAGUGCAAUUGAAGAAUUAGCAAAAGAAUGGUAAGAGUGCAAACACUUGAGUACUUUCUUUUUUAACACAAUAUUUGCUAGUCCUUUUUAUUCUUUGUUGAUUUAAGGUAGGAUGAGUAAAGAUAAGAAUGUGGUGGAUCGUACUGAUGGAAGUGAAUCGAAUAUGGGUAACGAUUAUAAGCUCUUUAAGAAGUCAGUCAGUGGUGAGUUACAAAGGCUCAAUAAGACUCUUGAGAGGUUAACUAAAACUAUGGAGAGUUUGAAUGUCUCACAAGCUUUCACUUCUACAAGAAUACCUCAAAGAACUCUUAAUUGCAAUAAUGACUGUGAUGAUUCGGAUGUGUUGGUUAAUAAUGUGUUGCUUGCUGUACAUUGUGAGAUGCUUGUUGCUAGGUGUGCUCUGAAUAUGCAGGUUAAGAAAGAAAGCCUAAAACAACGGAAAAACAUAUUUCACACUAGGUGUUUGGUUAAUGGAAAAGUGUGUACUCUCAUUAUUGAUGGAGGUAGUUGCACAAAUGUGGCUAGUGUGUAUAUGGUGGAGAAAUUGGGCUUGGCUUCUAUUGAACACUCUAAGCCAUACAGAUUGCAAUGGUUGAAUGAUUGUGGUGAGGUUAGGGUUACACGCCAGGUGGUUAUACCAUUUUCUAUUGGUAGGUACAAGGAUGAGAUAUUGUGUGAUGUGGUACCUAUGCAGGCAAGCCAUAUGUUGUUGGGUAGGCCGUGGCAACAUGAUAGAAAGGUGCAACAUGAUGGUUUCAAUAACAAGUACUCCUUCACUCAUGAAGGACAUAAGGUUAUACUCGCUCCUUUAUCACCUCAAGAGGUAUAUGUUGAUCAAAUAAAGAUGCUGGAGAGGGAGAGGGAGGCUUCGGCCUUGGCCACAAAGGGGAGUGAGAGCUUGAAUUCUGCGGAAAAGAUGAGAGAAAAGAGUGAGUUUGAGGGUAAAGAGGCUGGAAAAGAAUCAAGGCUAGUUCAAGGAGGGAAGGUGGAGAAAGAAAAGGAGAAAGAAGAGGCUAAAGUUCCAAUCUCAACUUCCAUAGAGAUUGAAAUUGAAGAUGAAGUUGUAAUGCAUGAAUCUAAUGUUGUUGUUGUUGAGAAUUCCAUCAAUGAACUUAUAGAAGAGGUUGUGAAUGAUGAGGGACAUGGGGAGCACGUGAUUGAUGAGGUGGAGGAGGCAAAUGAGACUGUUUUGGAAGUUGUAGAGGAGAAUGGGUCACAUCCACAAGAUCUUUCUAUGACUAAUAUUUUUAUGCCUAGUUCAUUUGUUCUUGAUGUGCAGGUUGUUGAUGAAAACAUUCAUGAUGAAAGUUUUAUCCUAUUUCCACCUAUUCAAAAGGAGGUCUUUGAAGAUACAUGGGUUCCUAAAGCUUCCCUUGUUGACAUAAAUAUCAGUAAGAUUCGAGGACGAAUCUUUUCUAAAGAAGGAGAGAAUGAUACGGAUCCAAUAGGGUAAAUUUCUAACAAUGGUGUGGAGAAAACUUAUGUCAUUCAAAUGGAUCUAAAAGGAGUUCAAAAUCAUAUUCAUAUGAUCCAUAUAUAUUUGGGACGUGCUUCAACUCAUAUGGAACAGAUUUGGUGCAACACUUGCAAUCAUAGGCUUAGGGAGCCUAAUCAAACCUAUGGGCUAAAACUACACAAAGGGAAGCCUAAAGUGAAGAUCAAGUAAGGCUUUUGUGAAGAUUCAGCUUUGUUAUGAUGGGCUUGCUAUAUUUUUAUUAUUUAACACUUGUUUUAUUUUAGCUUUGUUUGGGCUUGUAUUCUGGCCAUACUUUAUCUUUUAAGUUUUAAAGUGUUGGGCCAUGUUUUGGGCUUAUGUUUUAAUACUUAUGUGUUAUUUUAGUGUGUGAUUAGGAUUGGGCCUUAUGUGUUUAAGUCAGGUCCAAGAAGAGUGUCUUAGGGUUUUAUUUGUUAUUCUCCUCACUAUAUAAGGAUAAGAAACAAUUGUAAGGGGCAGCUUUUAACCAAAAAUUCAGAAUUCUUCUCAUGCCUUUGGCAUGUAUUGCUUUGAGUGAGAGUGAGGAUUUGCUUUCAUCAAUUGCACCAGGAAUCUUGGCUUACUUAUCAACUAUUCGUUGUGGCGCUUGUCAGAUUCUCAUCUAAAUCCUUCGAUCAUUGGUGUUUCAGCUUCUCUAAGUGUGGGGUGCCAUAGGAGGUGGGUUUAUCAAAUCUUUGGAUUUUAUAUCUACUUGUGCGUGUGGGUUUGAGGCUUGUGCCAUAGGGUUCCGCGUCAAGAAUUCUAUGAGUGUCUUAUCUGAAAUAUCAUGUUGAGGAUAACCUGUACACAACCUUUUAAAUCUUUCCCAAUAGUCAUAUAAAUCCUCAGAUGGCUUUUGUCUUAUGCUACUGAUCUCUCUUCUUAUGCCAAUGGCUUUAGAAGCUGGGAAAUAUUUGUUUAAGAAUGUUAUUUCCAUGUCAUCCCAAGAAGUGAUAGAUCCAGGUGGUAAGUAAAACAGCCAAUCCUUAGCAUAAUCAUCAAGCGAAAAAGGAAAAGCUCUUAACUUAACAUGAUCUUCAGAAAUACCUUGAGGUCUCAUAGAUGAACAGACAAUAUUGAACUCCUUCAAGUGCUUGUGUGGAUUUUCAUUUUCUAAUCCUCUAAAUUUAGGGAGAAGAUGAAUCAAACCUGUUUUCAGUUCAAAGGGAACUGUCAGAGGUGGAUAGGUGAUGCACAGAGGUGCUUGAUCACCUACAGGUUUUGCCAAUUCUCUCAUGGUCCUUUCUCUUUGCACUGGGGGCCUAAUUGCUAGAUUUUCUUGAAUUAUUUGGGCUUGGACAGCAUGUCCAUUAUGGGCAGCAGGUUGUGCAUGAGGUUCGGCCAUUUGUGUGGCUUGUUGGUGAAGUUCGGGUGCUUCAGAAGAGUGGUCUGCGAUUGGGGCUUCUUCAGAAGUGGUCUCGGCUUGUGUUGUCUCCCACAACCAAGAUGCUUGCUUACCUAGUCUCCUGAUUGUGCGUUCAAUUUCUGGAUCGUAAGGCAGAGUAUCCUUGUGUCCAGAUCUGGUCAUAAAAGAAAAAAAACAUAUUAGUUAAAUCAAUUCCCCAGCAACGACGCAUAUUUUUGACUCGCGGUUGUCAAAGCCGGUCAAAAAUAACCUUUUCGGUUAUCAACAAUAUUACUACUGUAGAUAGUGGCAAAGGAUCGUAUCCACAGAGAAUUGAAAAAUUAUCUAUCUUUUUUCUUAACAAGACCAAGAGACUAAACCGAAUGAGAAACUGAAAGCAAGCAACUGAAAGCAGAAUAAAAAAAAAGUGCAAUAAAAGUAAAAUGGGAGGAUGUUUUGAGAUUGAUUUGAUUAAGCAACUACUGAAAGUAAUUAAAUAAGCGAAUAAUGAAAAUAAAAUGGAAAUCUAAUAUGAGAAAGGUCUAGUUGAAGAGUUGGAUCCACUUCAGUUGUUUGGAUUGAUCAUUGAAACUUAUGUUCUUUUGAUUGAUUCAAUAGAUUAGUUAUGGAGAUGGAAGACGCUUCUCAUCACCAUGUCUCUCCUUAUGAUUAAACCAAUUAGGGAACGUACUCUAAUUAAUUACUAAUUAACAAAUUGCCAAGGAACAUCCUUAGGCCUUAGGCAUCAAAACAAUUGUUAAUUGCAUGAAGAGAUAGAGAGAUCCAAUCCUAGCUACUCAAACGCAUGAGAUGUUGCUAGAUCAUACAAUUUCCUUAGUUUUUACACCAAGUGUUCUUAUGUUUGAACAAUCCAAGCAAUUACGGACUUAAAAUUAUCCAAACUAACAAUUUACUACCUUGCAAUCAAGAAUCAAGUGGCCAAUUUGAUCAAAACAACAAAGCAGUAAUAGAUUUAAGCAUGAAAUUGUAUGAAUAUUGAACAAACUAAAGACAAACAAUCUAUGUUCAGAUCUCACAAUCCAUUAAACAACUUUAGUUUCAACCAAUCUUCAACUAGAUUAAAAGGUUUCAGCCACUCAUGGCUGAACCAAAACCAAAAAUAAAAGAAAAGUAGAAAGGUAGAAGAAAAAGAAGAGGUAGAGGCAUCGGCCUUGUGCAAUCCGAGAAGGAGAGGCACGAAGAUGAUGUCCAGAACUUAUUCUCGGCUGGUUAUGUGCUUCUUAAAUAGGAUUAGAGGUACUUGCUGCUUAAGUUGUGUCUGAAAAGGAAAGAAUCGCGUUGCAAGCUCUUCAGAAGGAAGGUGGCGCACGACAUGCUCUUCAGAAGGAAGGUGUGCGCCCGAAUGGAUGUGCAGAAGGGAAAGAUAAUUUGUCCAGUCUUUCCUUUUUAGGUGGAGCCUUCGUUUGAAUUUUGAAUGCUGAAUGCAGAAGAGGCAAGUGCGUCUUCUUGAAAUCUUGCUGCCUAAAUAGGAAGAUCUGACUGUUGCAGUGUGUGCACAUCUUUAAACAAGGAAAGAAAGAUCUGCGAUUUGAAUUUCAAAUAAUCUCCUGACUGAGCUUUCCUUAUUUGCUUUUGCUUCUACACUUUCCUUAUUUGAAAACUUUCCUUUUUAGAAAACUUUCCUUAUUUGAAAACUUUCCUUUUUUGGCACUUUCUAUAUUUGACACUUUUUGGCAGUUUUAAGAGCAUUUUUCUCUAGAUUGUCUAUUUACACCUAAUAUCUGUAAAACAUGAUUAAAACCACAAAAUUAGGUAGAAAGGAUGUAAAUAAACAUAAAAAAUAUCAUGAUAAAGUGGGCUAAAUUAUGCUCCAUCAGGUAAAGAACAGGAACUUGCAUUUAACACAUUAAAAGAAAAACUUACUACUGCUCCUGUUUUAAGGUUACCUGAUUUUUCUGAAACCUUUGAAAUCGAAUGUGAUGCUUCUGGGAUUGGUAUUGGUGCUGUUCUUAUGCAGGAAGGUCAACCCAUAGUAUAUUUCAGUGAGAAACUAGGUGGCGUACAUUUGAAAUAUUCCACCUAUGACAAAGAGUUAUAUGCACUGAUUAGGGCUCUUGAAGUUUGGAAAUACUACUUGCUACCUAAUGAGUUUGUGAUUCAUACCGACCAUUAGUCUCUCAAACACUUGAAGGGACAAGGUAAGUUGAACAAGCGGCAUGGUAAGUGGGUUGAGUAUCUCAAAAUCCUUCCUUAUGUGAUUAAAUACAAGCAAGGUAAAGAGAAUGUGGUAGCUUAUGCAUUAUCUAGACGUUAUGCAUUGACUUCUAUGCUUAGUUCUAAUUUGUUAGGGUUUGAGCAUUUGAAAGACAUGUAUGAGAAUGAUACUGAUUUUUAUGAUGUAUUUAUGGCAUGUGAAUAUGGGGCGUUUAACAAGUUUUAUUUGCAUGAUGGGUUUCUUUUUAGGAGGAAACAAAUAUGCAUACCCAAUUGUUCAGUGCGUGAAUUGCUUGUUAGAGAAUCGCAUUCAGGAGGGUUAAUGGGACAUUUUGGUGUGCAAAAGACUUUAGACAUGUUGAAUGAACACUUUUAUUGGCUUGACAUGCGAAUAUACAUACUCAAUGCUUUGCAUGUAAACAGGCUAAAUCUAAGUCCUUGCCACAUGGGUUGUAUACUCCUUUGCCUGUUCCUACUAAACCUUGGACUGAUAUCUCUAUGGAUUUUGUGAUAGGUUUACCUAGGACAAAACGAGGUAGAGAUUCAGUGUUUGUUGUUGUAGAUCACUUUAGUAAGAUGGCACAUUUUAUUCCAUGCCAUAAAACUGAUGAUGCAACAAACAUAGCAGAUUUGUUUUUCAGGGAAGUAGUCCGUUUGCAUGGUAUACCUAGGACUACUGUUUCUGAUAGAGAUUCUAAGUUCCUUAGUCAUUUCUGGCAUGUUUUGUGGGGGAAAUUGGGUACUAAGCUUUUAUUUUCUACUACUUGUUAUCCACAGACAAAUGGCCAAACUGAAGUUGUUAAUAGGACUUUAGGAACUAUGCUUCGUGCUAUUGUGGGAAGGAACUUAAAAACUUGGAAAGAAUGUUUACCAUAUGUUGAAUUUGCUUAUAAUCGCGCUGUCCAUUCUUCUACUGGUUAUUCACCUUUGAGAUUGUGUAUGGUUUUAAUCCAUUAACUGUAUUAGAUUUAAUGCCUUUACCUUUGAAUGAGUUGUCUAAUUUAGAUGGAAAAGCGAAGGCUGAAAUGGUUAAAUCAAUACACAUGAAAGUACGUGAGCAUAUUGAGAAGCGUAACAAAAUGUAUGAGAAACAGGCCAAUAAGGGUCACAAGAAAGUUGUAUUUAGACCAGGUGAUUGGGUUUGGAUCCAUAUGCAAAAGGAGAGGUUUUCUAAUAUAAGGAAAUCAAAACUGGAUGCACGCGGGGAUGGACCAUAUCAAGUGCUAAAACGGAUUAAUGACAACGUAUAUAUAAUUGAUCUGCCAGGUGAGUUUGGUGUAAGUGCUACCUUUAAUGUUUCUGAUUUGUCUCCUUUUGAUUUUGGUACAGAUUUGAGGACGAAUCCUUUUCAAGAGGGUGGGGAUGAUGUAAGCACAACCAACAACACAAAAAAUGAUGAGCUAGCAUUGCCUCAAGGACCAAUUACAAGGUUGAGAUCCAAGAAGUUGAAGGAAGCACUUCAAGGAUUCAUGAAGGAAUAUGUUGAAGCUUUGCAAGUUCAUUUUCAAGUUGAAGAACAAUCUUGUAAUACCUGGCUAGACUCCGGUAUCGGAAUUCCUACCGUCCGAUGGAAUCUCGGGUGUCGGAGACCUCUGGAAGGGUAAAAUCAUGUUUUCAUAAAAUGUUUUAAUGUGUUUUAUGUUUUUAAUUAAGAAAGAAAAUGAAUUUUUGCAUGAGUAUAGCUUUGAAGGAAAACCUAGGUUCGGUCGCCGAACAUGCAUGUGCUUCGGGAGUGCCUUAGGCCCCUGAAGGCAUAAGUGAGGAAAGUCCAGGUUCGGCCGCCGAACAUAGCAUGCAUGCGGAGGCACGUUCGGCUCCCGAAUGUGGCCUGGCCAGCCACCUAUAAAGGGGUCCCUUAGCCGAAAACGGGUGAGCUUUUCUCCCCAUUUUCGGCCAAGGUGAGCUCUCCGCCGUCCCUCACCGAUCUUGAGUUUCUUCCUUCCAUUCUUCAUGAUUUUUAUGAGUUUGCAACUUUGUUUUGAAGAUUUUCGAGUAUAAAGCAAGUUUUGGAGCUUAAAGGUUCAAGGAACUCUCUCUCUCCCAUUUUCCGAGCUAGGGUCGUUCUCCUCUCGAUCUUCAAGAGGUAAGGGCCGAUCUUGAGCUUAUGGCAUGUUUUAAGUAAGUUUUAAGUAGAUCUAUGGGGUAGAAUGCAUGUUUAGCUUAUGGUUAGGUUUAUGAGUUUAUGUUGUGUUUUAUGGACAAUGUAUGAUGUUUGUGGUUGCUUGAUGUGUUGUAGUUGGGGUUUAAGAUAGUUUGAAGCCCCUAGGAGCUUAUGUAUGUGUUUAUGCAUGUUUUGGUUGAGUUAUAUGCAUGAUUGAAGGUUUUGGGAGGCAAAUGUGCAUGAGGAACCGAGUUUCUGCCCUUUUGGCAGAAACCAGGUUCGGCAGCCGAAGAACUUUCGGCCGCUGAACCUGCCUAGGAGGCAAGCCUUUCGGCUGCCGAAGCCUACCCCCGAAAGAGGACUUUCGUCUCUGGAGGGCAGUUUCGGCCGCCGAAAGUGCCGCCGAACAUGCAUGAGUUUCGUUUCUGUCUGGGAGUUUCGGCCGCCGAAGGUGCUGCCGAACCUGCCUGACUUUCGGCUCUGGAGGGACUUUCGGCCUCCGAACCUACCGCCGAAAGUGCCCUAUUCAGCCUUCCUUUGCAUGUUUUGCAUGAUUGUUUUGAGGUGUUCUAGGGGGGUUUUUGGGGGUUGUUUUUAGAGUUAUGUUCUAGUUGUUUGGUCCCUCAUUUGUAUCCACCUGUGUAGGUUCGGACCUGAGGAACCGAGGACCCCAGCAGUGAGUCAGCUGCUUCAGUCAUUGUCAGAGCUAGUUGAGGUGAGUAGAAUAAACACUUAUGUUUUAAAGUAAAUAAAUAUAGAUUUGAGCAUGUUCAUGCAUCACGAAUGCUAUGUGAUAUUCUAGGUUGUUUGCAUUAGAAUUCACGAAUAUGUUGCAUUGCAUAAUUUGAUGAUGAUGUGGAUGGUUAUUGGAUGAUCCUUAGUCCUUGAUAUGAUGCGAUGUGAUAUGAUACGGUAUGGUACGGAAGUCCAGAUUGUACCCAUUCUACGUCCCUGGCACUAUGUAAGAGAAAGUCCAGGUUGUACCCAUUCUACGUCCCUGGCACAUUGGAAUGUUAUGUUAUGUUAUGUUAAGAGAAAGACCGGUUGACCCAUUCUACGUCCCGGCACCUUGGAAUGUAGAGGACUCUUGGUGACAAUACCAUCCGUGAUGUGAUUUGUCUGUGAUGUGUUGCAUUCCAUUAUAGCAUAUGAUUUAAAUGUCUUAUUAUUCUGCUCACUGGGCUCUAGUAACUCACCCCUUUUUCCUAAUCCCCCAGGGUUGCAGGUACAGGCUAGACAGAGAAGUCAAGGUGAAUGAAGUCUUGAGUUGUAAUAGAUAGAAUGUGGACAUGACAAAUUGUAAAAUGAUGUAAAGUUAUGAAUAGUUAUGUUAUGUAAAAUAUGAUAUUGAGGAUUAGAGGUUGUGCUUGACCCUAUGUGUAUGGUAUCCCUUUUAAUACAUGAUCACUGUUUUUAUUUGAUGAGACGAGUAAUCAGGCUUAAUGUAUGUUAUUGUUACCCCAUUGGAGCAUUGUUGAGGGCUCCAGUGUGAGGUUUAUGGUUAUGUUAAUGUGCAUGCACAAGUUAAGCUUGAUUUAUGAAAGAAAAAGUUUAAAUGUUUAUGUAUAUGUAUGAUCAUGUAUGGGAUUACACAGGUUUGCAGGUUGUAUGUCAGGCUUGCUACGGGUCUCGGCGGCCUUAAGCCGAUCUGGAUCCUAGCGCCGGUAACAGUCCGAUUUUCGGGUCGUUACAAAUCCGGCCAUUCCGAGUCAAUUAGGCCGAAUGUGUCCUUAUUGACAAUUCAAAUUUUGUAAUUAUAGUGGAUAGUUGUUUAGUAGUGGGUAGUUAUUUAGCAGUUGUUAGUUAACCAGUAGUUGGUAGUUAUCUAGUAGUGAAAAGUGGCAUUGAUCAUGAAUCCAUACAGAGUAGUGGGUAGUGGCAUAGAUCAUGGGUCCAUGCAUAGCAAUGGGAAGUGGCAAAGAUCAUGGGUUUUUAUUUAGGUUAUAUAAAGCAUCUCUUUUUCCAUAUUGUAGACAGAUUAUCAAUUAUUUAAUACAAUUGCUUUAUGCGAUUCUUCUUUCAGACCUUAAGAGAGAUCUUGGUUCUUGACAUUGCAUCACGAAUAAGGUUUGAUACUAACUUGUAUGUUUCUGACUCGCGUUUGUCGAAGCCGGUAAAAAAUAACCUUUCAGGUUAUCAACAAUAUUACUACUGCAGAUAGUGGUAAAGGAUCGAAUCCAUAGAGAAUUGAUAACUUACCUAUUACUUAACAAGACCAAGAGAAUUAACUGAAAGCGCAACUGAAAGCAAGUAACUAAAAGCGGAAUAAAAAUAAAGUGCAAUAAAAGUAAAAUGGGGGAUUUUGAGAUUAGUUUGAUUAGCAACUACUGAAAGCAAUAAAAGAAGCAAAUAGUAAAAAGAAAUAAAGAGAUAUCAAAUAUGAGAAAGGUCUAGUUGAAGAGUUGGAUCCACUUUAGUUGUUUGGACUGAUCAUUGAAACUUAUGUUCUUUUGAUUGAUUCAAUAGAUUAGUUAUGGAGAUGAAAAACGCUUCUCACCACCAUGUCUCUCCUUAUAAUUAAACCAAUUAGGGAACGUCCUCUAAUUAAUUACUAAUUAACAAAUUGCCAAGGAAUGUCCUUGGGCCUUAGGCAUCAAACAAUUGUUAAUUGCAUGAAGAAAGAGAGAGAUCCAAUCCUAACUACUCAAACGCAUGAGAUGUUGCUAGAUCAUACAAUUCCUUAGUUGUUAUACCAAGUGUUCUUAUGUUUGAACAAUUCAAGCAAUUAUGGACUUAAAAUUAUCCAAACUAACAAUUAAUUACCUUGCAAUCAAGAAUCAAGAGGCCGAUUUGAUCAAAACAAUAAACUAAUAAUAGAAUUCAAGCAUGAACUGUAUGAAUAUUGAAUAACCAAAAGACAAACAAUAUGUGUUCAGAUUGCACAAUCCAUAAAACAACCUUAGUUUCAACCAAUCUUCAACUAGAAUAAAAGGUUUCAGCCACUCAUGACUGAAACAAAAAUCAAAAACAAGAAAAGAAAAAAGGGAAGAGGAACCGAAUUGAGAGGAGAAGCCUUGGUGCGCCUUCCUUGCUUUGGCUGAAUGGUCAAGUUGUGCUCCCCCGUGGCUAGCCUUUUUGAAGUCUUUAAAUAUGUUUUAAGAUGCUGACCUAGGGUUUCUUGGCUGUCCAUGAGUUUUUAAGAGGCUGCCCAAAUUGCCCAUGGUCUUCAAGUGUUGCCGCCCAUGCAUAAGUGAAGGGGAGGCGUGUGGCAUGUGUGGCUUGUGCAAGAGUUGUGGUCCUUACCCUUACUUGCUGCCCAAGUUGAGCUUAGGUGGCUGCCCAAACUGCCCAAGAAGCCUCUUCACACCCUCCUUGCCGCCCAUGCACAAAUAAGGGAGAUGGAGCCUCCUUUUGCAAUUUGAAUUUUGAAUGUGCAUAGCAUGAGGUGGCAAAUAUUUGAUCUUUGGAUUUAACUUCCUUAAUAAGCUGGAUUUUGAAAUUCAAAAUUUGAAUAUGAAUCUUGAAGAUUUGAAAUUUAAAAUACUUUCCUUAUUUGGCUCUUCAUUUAUGGCAACUUGAGAUUUGGCUUCUUGGAGAUUUGAAAUUUGAAUUUCAAAUUGCUUUGGCUGAAUGUUCUUUCCUUAUUUGCCACUUUCCUUAUUUAGAACUUUCCUUAUUUAGCUUCACUUGAUUUCAACUUGGCAGGCUUGCUCUCCUUUGCUCCAUUUAAGGCAGUUUUAAGGGUAUUUUCUCCAAAAUGUCAUUUUUCACCAUUUUCUGCAAAAUAAUAUCAAAAGCACUAAAUUAAGUAGAAAUCAUGUAAAUAAUCAUCAAUAAUAUCAAGAUAAAAUGGACUAAAAUAUGCUCUAUCAAUUUCUUAUUCUUGUUACUUUUAAAAUCAAUCAGUUAUAAGUGUUCUUAAUUGCAUGUUAAUUAAGGGUGCUUUAGAUUGGGAAAUUGUUUUCUGAACUAAGUUCUUUUUACUAGGGUAUGUGUCGUUUCAGUCUCUAAUAGGCUAGGGUUCCGCAUCAAGUGAGAUCGCCUGCACCUCUUCAGCUCAUAUCGCAGGUGAAUUCCACCAUACAUCCAACGCAGACAGGCCAUGCACAAGAGGAACACGCUGAAACCAGUUCAGCCGGGAAUCCAACAGAGACAGACACUUGUCUGACCAAACUGAUGACCCAUGGUAUGCAGACAUUGUGAACUACCUAGCCACAGGUAACUUAUCCUUUAAUAUGCCCAGGCACACAAAAGACAAGAUAAAGAAGAGUGCAAAGUAUUAUGUUUGGGAUGAACCAUAAGGAGAUGCAUUCCAGAUCAAGAGAUAGCCUCAGUACUCACAUUUUGUCAUUCAUACAGUUGCGGUGGACACUUUGGGCCAAGAAAGAUAGCCCAUAAAAUGCUUGAAAGUGGAUUGUUUUGGCCUACUCUUUUUCGAGAUUCCUAUUUGUUUUGCAGGUCAUGUGCACGAUGCCAGUAGACUGGGAAUCUAGGGAACAGAAGCCAAAUGCCGCAGAAUCCCAUCAUGGUUUGUGAGAUAUUUGAUGUAUGGGGCAUAGACUUCAUGGAGCCAUUUCCGCCAUCCUUUGGAUACACCUAUAUCAUCCUUGCAGUGGAUUAUAUGUCCAAAUGGGUAGAAGCUAGAGCAACCAAAACCGAUGAUGCAAAGGCAGUAGUGGAUUUCGUGAAGACCAACAUCUUUGCCAGGCAUGAAGUGCCCAAGGCAAUCAUCAGUGAUAGAGGGUCUCACUUUUGUAACAAGGUAGUGGAGAACCUUCUCAAAAAGCACAAUGUUAUACACAGAACAUCCACAGCCUACCACCCUCAGAGAAAUGGGCAAGCUGAAGUGUCUAACAAAGAAAUCAAAGCCAUUCUAGAAAAGACAGUAUGCUCCAGCGGAAAAGAUUGGAGUGUACGAUUGGAAGAUGCCUUAUGGGCAUACAGGACAGCCUACAAGACACCCAUAGGGAUGUCUCCCUAUAGAUUGGUCUUUGAAAAAGCCUGUCAUCUUCCAGUUGAGCUUGAACACAAGGCCUACUGGGCUGUCAAGAAUUGCAACAUGGACCUCAAGGAAGCUGGACACCAUCGAAAAUUGCAACUCUAAGAGCUAGAAGAAAAAAGACGAGAUGCAUAUGAGACUUCUUGGAAGUACAAAGCCAAGACCAAAGCCUCCAAUGAAAACCGUAUUUCAAGAAAACAUUUUGAGGUUGGUGAUUGUAAUACCCGGCUAGACCCCGGCAUCGGAAUUCCUACCUUCCGGCUGAAUCUCUGUUGAAAUCCGGGAUUUCUCGGAUGUCGGAGCCUUUUAGAAGGGUAAAAUAAAGGUUUUCUAAAAUGUUUUAUAUGUUUUUAUGGUUUUAAUGAAGAAAGAAAAUUGAGUUUUGAAAGAAAUUUUUUAGAGGAGAAACCCAUGUUCGACCUUCGAAUAUGGUGGAGUUGCGGAGGCACUUUUGGCCUCCGAAGGUGGUCUGGCCAACCACCUAUAAAAGGCCCCUUGUCCGAAAAUGGGCGAGUUUUCUCUCUCCAUUUUCGGGCAAGGUAAGUCUCCACCACCCCCUUGUUGAUCUUGUGUUUUCUCCUCAAAUCCUUCAAGAUUUUUAUGAGUUUUUACCAUGUUUUGAAGAUUUUAAGCUAAGAUCAAAGUUUUGAAGCUUAGAGACCCCCGGAGCUCGUUCCUCCAUAUCUCCAAGUUUGGGAUCGCAUCUCCUCUCGAUCUUCAAGAGGUAAGUGUAGAUCCUCAUCUUCUCUUAUGUUUUUAAGUAAGUUUUAUGAAGGGUUAAGGGAUUAUGAUGCAUGUUUAGGCUAGUUGUAAAAUGUUAGGGUUUAUGUUAGUUUAAUGAUAAAUGUGAUGCUUAAUGUGAUGUUUGUUGGGAGAUAGGCUAGUUUUAUGCCUCUAUAUGCUUGAAUAAGUGUUUAUGCAUGUUUUAGAAUAGUUGAAUGCAUGUUGGGAUGUUGGGAUGGCUUAAUGUGGGAUGGCAGAAUCGGGUUCUGCCACCCAAGAGGAUCCAGGUUCGGCCGCCAAACCUACCAGGGGAGGCAGUUUUGGCCGCCUAAACUCGCCCCCGAAAGUUUAGACUUUCGGCUCUAGAGGGGAGUUUCGGCCGCCGAACCUGCCCCCGAAAGUGGGUGACUUUCGGCUCUGGAAGGAUCUUCGGCCGCUGAACCCUGCCCCCGAAAGUGCUUGACUUUCGGCUCUGUGGGGACCUUCGGCCGUCGAACUUGCCACCGAAAGUCCCCUGCCCAGCCUUCCUUUGCCUAUUUUUCCAUGCAUGUUUAUGAUGUUUUAGGGGGUUUUUGGGGAGAUGUUUAGAGUCAUGUUAGAGUAUGUUUGGUCCCUCAUUUGAGUCCACCUGUGUAGGAUCGAACUUGAGGAAUUAAGGAGACCAGCAGUGAGAUAGUUGCUUCAUAGUUAGUUCAGAGUCAGCCAGAGGUGAGUAGAACUAAACUAAUCUUUUAUUGCUAGAAAUCAAAUGUUUUAAGCAUGUUCAUACAUCAUGUAUAUGUAAUAGGUUGGUUGCAUUAGACCCCACGAAUAUGACGCAUUGCAUUAUUUAUUGUGGAUGUGGAUGGACAACAGGAUGACUCAUUAGCCCUCUAGAUAUUAUGUUAUGUAAUAGAAGUCCUGAGGAGCUUCACCGAGGGCCGGGCACAGAGCUUAUGUUAUGUAAUAGAAGUCUUGAGGAGCUCCACCGAGGGCCGGGCAUAGAGUAGAGGGAUUUUUGGGUCAGUCCAUCCGUGAUGUGAAUUAUUUGUGAUGUGAUGCAUUCCAUGAAAGCAUAUGUUUAUUAAUUUAUUUUUACUGUUCUGCUCACUGGGCUUUUGUAGCUCACCCCUUUCCCCUAACCCCCAGGUUUGCAAGUUUAGGAUAGACCGGGAAGUUGUCAAGGUUGAAGGUUGUGCUAAGUGUAAUAGAUUAGUAGUGGACAUGUAAUGCAAAAUGGUAUAAUGUAAUGUGAUGUAGAGAUAUGUUUCAUGGUUUAGUAUUGUGCUUGGCCCUAAUGUAUGGUUAAUCCCUUUUGGUACAUGAUCUUAAUGAAAUGUUUUAAUGAUGUUAUGUGUUGAACCAGGCUUGACAUAUGAAAUGUUGACCCAACUGGAGCAUUUGAUGAGGGCUCCAGUAAAGGGUUUUAUGUAUAUAGUUUUAGUGCAUGCACAGGUCAAGCUUGGUAUAUGAAAAGUUUAAAGUUUUUAUGAAAAUGUAUGAUCAUGUAUGGGAUUUUAUCAGAUAUACAGGAUGUAUGUUAGGCUUGUUAUGGGUUCUGACGACCUUAAGUCGAUCUGAAUCCUAGCGCCAGUAGCGGUCCGGUUUUCGGGUCGUUAUAGAGUGGUAUCAGAGCCCUAGGUUCAUAUGGUCGGACCUAGAGUGUGUUGGGCUCAUAGAUGUCAUUGAAGGGCAAGCACAAUAGGAAAAAUCAUGUUCACUAGGAUAGGAUAUAGAGUCCUGUCUUGAGGAUGAUGUGAAAUGCCAUGAUAAUAUGCAUGUGCAUUAAUGAUAUGUGAUGUAUGUGAUGCGGGUUCGUGUGUUUCCACAUGAACCAUAUAAUGCUAAUGUUUAUGUGUACAUAUUGUUUUUCAGAAAACAGAAUGAGAGGCACUCGUUGAUCUGCACGAUUGACUGGAGUCCCACCUGAGAAUGAGGGCAUGGAUGCCCUUCCCCUUGCUUUGCCAAGGGCAAUGUCUAGUAGGUCCAGCAGAGAAGGGACAUCAAGGGACCCUAGAAGGUCUUUUGAUGUAAACAGGAGGAGGACUGAUCCAGGAAGGAUGUCAGCAGAUGUGAGGGAAUCUGUGGAUGAUGAGCAGAGAAGAGAUGGUAGUCUGGGCAUGAGUAUGUCAGAAGAGGAUAUGGAGAGUCCCAAAGAGGCUCUCAGGCCUCGGGUUUUGUUCAACCACCCCAGUACCAACCCUUUCCACAGGGCCCAGGGUAUCUGAUGGAGGGUACAUUGGAUUACUCUAGUUAUAAUCCAUAUCCUACCUUCAUGCCCUAUCCUCCCUUUUACCCACCUUAUCCACAGUACCCCAUGUUUCCACCCUCACCCUUCUAUCCAAAUCCAGCAAACCCUAACAAGGGAAUGCUGCACCUCCUCCACCACCAGCAAAACCUAUGGUCCCUGAUAUCCAAACACCCAAACCUAGCUCAUCUGUGGGGAGCAAGGUAAAGAUGACAGAUUACCUGAAGCUAGAUGCUCCCAAGUUCAAGACAGGUGAUGAUCCGUUUGAGUACCUCAAGACAGUAAAGAUGAUAACGGAUGAGCUAGGAGCCAGUGACAGUAGAGCCAUUCAGAUGGCAGGGUUCACAUUGAAAUGUAAGAAAGCAUGGGAGUGGUUUAAAAAUUAUGUGGACCCAAGGUUGGAUAGCCUAUCCUGGGAAGAGUUUGCCAAUGAGUUUGCUGAUAGGCUUUUUCGGAUAGUUCAAGAGAGCUGAAGGUUGUAGAGUUCCAGCAGCUGAGACAGACAGAGGAUAUGAGUGUCAAUGAGUACACAGAUAAAUUCAUGGAGUUGCUGCAGUAUGUAGGUCAGGCAUAUGACACAGACCAGAAGAAAGCUAGGAGGUAUACCAUGAGGCUCCACUAUAGGUAUUCCUCCCUGAUCCUAGCAACAGAGAGAGAGAGCUUCCACACCAUAGUGGAUGCCGCGCGAAAAAUGGAGGCUAGUGCCAUUAUACAGGGGACAGUGAAACAGCAAGUGGCACAGCCCUCGGGUUCCAAGACCCCAGGCUCAGGGAAGUUCAACCUCUCUUCUUUGAGUACAGCAGCUUCGGGAAGCAAAAAGUGGGACAGAGGCUCUAAAAAGCCAAAGAAGAAUAAGUUCUGGAACCGUUUGAAGUCAGGUUUGGGAUUAGGUGGUGGUUCGAGCUCAGUUUCAGAUGGUUCAGAAUGCUUGAGGUGUGGUAAGCCACACAAAGGAGUCUGUCGGUUAGGGACAUCAACAUGUUACAGAUGUGGGCAGGAGGGACACAUAGCUCGGGAGUGUCCUAGAGUAGCCUCUAUGGCACCGUCCCAGCAGACAGCUUCAGGUAGUGUGGCUCAGCCAGUAGCUCCAGCCAUGACGCAGGGCAGUGGUAGAGGCAGAGGGAGAGGGACAGCCUCUUCUUCAGCAGAUUCCCGGGGUGAAGGUCCAUCAGCUCCAGCUCGGAUCUUCACUAUGACACAGCAGGAGGCAAACACGUCAAACACCGUGGUGUCAGGUAAUCUCAUCAUUGGAUGUUCUGAUGUAUAUGCUUUAAUGGACCCUGGUGCAUCUCAUUCUUUUGUUGCUCCGAGAGCCAUAAAGAGGUUGGGUUUGAUAGUCUCUGGGUUAGAGUGUCCCCUCUGGGUCAGUGGACCUAAGUGUGAUCCAUCAGUGGCAGAGUCAGUCUGCCGAUAUAGCCUAGUGUUUGUUGAGGGUAGAUGCCUUCCAGCCGAACUUGUGGUUCUAGAUUUGACUGAUUUUGAUGUCAUUCUAGGGAUGGAUUGGCUAUCUGCUCAUGGUGCUACCUUGGACUGCAGAGACAAGGUAGUUAGGUUCAGAGUACAGGAUGGGUCAGAGAUUGUCUUCACGGGAGACAGGAGGGUAAUGCCUAGAGGUCUGAUAUCAGCCCUAAAAGCUCGUAGGUUGCUCAUGAGAGGUUGUCAGGGGUUUCUAGCUCAUGUGAGAGAGCUUGAUGGUCAGGUCAGGGAGCCCGCCUCAGUGCCCGUAGUCAGGGAGUUUCCAGAUGUCUUCCCAGACGAGCUUCCAGGACUACCACCUGCUAGGGAGAUAGAGUUCGAAAUAGAAUUGAUGCUCGAAACCAGACCGAUCUCUAUCCCUCCCUACAGGAUGGCACCUGCAGAGUUGAAAGAGUUGAAAGAUCAGCUGCAAGAGUUGGUAGAUAAGGGUUUCAUUCGACCGAGUACCUCACCUUGAGGUGCUCCAGUGCUGUUUGUAAAGAAGAAGGAUGGAUGCCUAAGACUUUAUAUUGACUACAGACAGUUGAACAAAGUCACUACCAAGAACAAGUAUCCUCUACGAUCUAUUUGACCAGCUAGCAGGAGCAGGUUAUUUUUCCAAGAUAGAUCUGAGAUCUGGGUACCACCAGCUAAGAAUCAGAGAGGAAGAUGUGCCGAAGACGGCGUUCAAGACCAGAUAUAGGCACUAUGAGUUCCUAGUAAUGCCAUUUGGGCUAACCAAUGCCCCUGCAGGAUUCAUGGAUCUCAUGAACAGAGUUUUUAACCAAUAUCUGGAUCACUUUGUUAUUGUCUUCAUUGAUGAUAUCUUAGUGUAUUUCAGAAACGCAGAGGAGCAUGCCCAUCAUCUGAGGGUAGUUCUGCAGACCCUGAGGGAGCACGACUUGUAUGCCAAGUUCUCCAAGUGUGAAUUCUGGUUAAAGAGCAUCUCAUUCUUAGGGAAUGUGGUGUCAGAAAAAGGAAUUGAAGUGGACCCCAGGAAAGUAAAAGCUGUAGCUAACUGGCCCAGACCCACUACAGUUACAGAGAUUAAGAGCUUUUUAGGUCUGGCAGGUUACUACAGGAUGUUCGUUCAGGACUUCUCCAAAAUUGCCGUCCCUAUGACCAGAUUAACCAAGAAGAAUAAGAGGUUUGUGUGGUCUGAUCAGUGUGAGGAAAGCUUUGAAGAGCUAAAGAAAAGGUUAACGUCAGAACCGGUGUUAGCUCUGCCUACCAGUAAUGAAGACUUCACAGUGUUUUGCAAUGCAUCCCGUGUGGGACUAGGUUGCGUGUUGAUGCAGAAUGAGAGGGUAAUUGCUUGUGCUUCUAGGCAGUUGAAGAAGCAUGAGUUGAAUUAUCCUACACAUGACCUAGAAAUGGCAGCUGUGAUCUUUGCACUCAAGAUGUGGAGGCAUUACCUUUAUGGGGUUAAAUGUGAGAUCUUUACAGAUCAUAAGAGUUUGCAGUACAUCUUGAGUCAAAGAGAAUUGAACCUCAGGCAGAGAAGAUGGGUAGAACUGCUUAGUGACUAUGAUUGCAAAAUUCAGUACCAUCCGGGUAAGGCAAAUGUUGUGGCAGAUGCCCUAAGCUGGAAAUCACUUGGCAGUCUAUCCCAUGUUACAGCAGAGAGAAGACCGGUGGUGAGGGAAUUCUGUAAGCUUAUUGAUGAAGGGCUGCAGUUGGAGUUGUCUGGUACAGGUGCUUUGAUAGCUCAGAUGAGAGUGACACCCGUGUUUCUAGAGCAGGUGGCUCAAAAACAGCACGAGGACCCCGAGUUGGUGAAGAUAGCCAGAGCAGUUCAAUCAGGCAAGAAUGAGGAUUUUCGUUUUGACCACAAAGGGAUUCUCCGCUAUGGGAACAGGUUAUGUGUACCAGAUGACGUGAGUUUGAAGGGGGACACUAUGAGAGAAGCUCAUAAUGCCAGGUACAGUGUUCACCCUGGAGCCACCAAAAUGUACCAGGAUCUGAAAAGAGUCUAUUGGUGGCCAGCUAUGAAAAGAGAAGUGGCACAGUUCGUGUCCGCCUGCGAAGUAUGUCAGUGGGUGAAGCUGGAACAUCAGAAGCCGGUUGGAAUGAUUAACCCACUGCCGAUUCCAGAGUGGAAAUGGGAGAAUAUAGCUAUGGAUUUCGUGGUGGGGUUACUGGCAACGUCCAACAGACUAGAUUCCAUAUGGGUGAUUGUGGACAGACUGACCAAAUCUGCUCACUUCAUCCCUGUCAGGAGUGGCUACUUUGUGGACAAAUUAGCGCAGGUGUAUGUGGACGAGGUUAUCAGGUUGCAUGGGGCUCCUAUUUCAAUAGUGUCAGAUAGGGGACCCCAGUUCACCUCCAGGUUUUGGUGGAGUCUGUAGAAUGCUAUGGGCACCAGGCUAGACUUUAGCACUGCUUUCCAUCCUCAAAUUGAUGGACAGUCAGAGAGGACCAUCCAGACUAUAGAAGAUAUGCUUAGAAUGUGUGUGCUAGAUUUUGGUGGUUCUUGGAGGCAGCAUCUACCUUUGGUGGAGUUUGCCUACAAUAACAGCUAUCAUUCUAGCAUAGGGAUGGCUCAUUAUGAAGCUCUUUAUGGGAGGAAGUGCAGGUCAUUUGUUUGCUGGGAAGAAAUGGGAGAAAGGGCCUUAGCAGGGCCUGACCUAGUAGAGAUCACCAGCAGGGUAGUGCCUAUUAUCAGAGAAAGAAUUAAAACUGCUGUGAGUCGGCAGAAGAGUUAUGCAGAUGUCCGCAGGAAGCAUGUAGAGUUCCAGGAUGGAGAUAUGGUGUUGCUCAAAGUGUCUCCUAUGAAAGGGGUGAUUCGUUUUGGGAAGAAAGGUAAACUAGCUCCACGGUACAUCGGACCCUUUGAAAUCUUGUAAAAGAUUGGGAAUGUAUCGUACAAGUUCGUAUCAGAUCCGGUCUUCCAUGUUUCUAUGAUAUGAAAGUUUGUGUCAGAUCCUGGCAAGGUUCUUAAUGAGCCUAAUGUGGAGAUCCUAGAAGAUCUCACCUAUGUUGAGCAGCCGGUGCAGAUCCUAGACACGCAGAUCAGAAAGCUGAGGAACAAGGAAAUCUCGAUGGUGAAAGUCCUUUGGAAUCACCACAACAUAGAAGAAUGUACCUAGGAGACACGAGAGUCUAUGCUCCAGCAAUACCCCUAUCUCUUUUAAGGUUAGUGUUUUGGUGGUUAUGUGCUUCCUUAUUGAUAUGUGUGUUAUGACAUGCUUUGCUUGUGUGUUGAACAUUCGGGGACGAAUGUUCUUAAGGGGGGAAGAAUGUAAUACCCAGCUAAACCCCAGCAUCGGAAUUCCUACCUUCCGGCGGAAUCUCCGUUGGAAUCCAGGAUUUCUCGGAUGUCGGAGCCUUCUAGAAGGGUAAAAUAAAGGUUUUCUAAAAUGUUUUAUAGGUUUUUAUGGUUUUAAUGAAGAAAGAAAAUUGAGUUUUGAAAGAAAAUGUUUUGGAGGAGAAACCCAGGUUCGGCCGCCGAACAUGGUGGAGUUGCGGAGGCACUUUUGGCCUCUGAAAAUGGUCUGGCUAGCCACCUAUAAAAGGCCCCCUGUCCGAAAAUGGGCGAGUUUUCUCUCUCCAUUUCCGGGCAAGGUGAGUCUCCACCACCCCCUUGUUGAUCUUGUGUUUUCUCCUCAAAUCCUUCAAGAUUUUUAUGAGUUUUUACCAUGUUUUGAAGAUUUUAAGCUAAGAUCAAAGUUUUGAAGCUUGGAGACCCCCGGAGCUCAUUCCUCCAUAUCUCCAAGUUUGGGAUCGCAUCUCCUCUCGAUCUUCAAGAGAUAAGUGUAGAUCCUCAUCUUCUCUUAUGUUUUUAAGUAAGUUUUAUGAAGGGUUAAGGGGUUUUGAUGCAUGUUUAGGCUAGUUAUAAAAUGUUAGGGUUUAUGUUAUUUUAAUGAUAAAUGUGAUGCUUAAUGUGAUGUUUGUUGGGACAUAGACUAGUUUUAUGCCCCUAUAUGCUUCAAUAAGUGUUUAUGCAUAUUUUAGAAUAGUUGAAUGCAUGUUGGGAUGUUGGGAUGGCUGAAUGUGGGAUGGUAGAAUCGGGUUCUGCCACCCAGGAGGAUCCAAGUUCGGCCGCCAAACUUGCCAGGGGAGGCAGUUUUCGCCGCCUAAACUCGCCCCCGAAAGUUUGGACUUUCGGCUCUGGAGGGGAGUUUCGGCCGCCGAACCUGCCCCUGAAAGUGGGUGACUUUCGGCUCUGGAAGGACCUUCGGCCGCCGAACCCUGCCCCCGAAAGUGCUUGACUUUCGGCUCUGUGGGGACCUUCGGCCGCCGAACCUGCUGAUACGGAUCCAAUAGGGCAAAUUUCUAACAAUGGUGUGGAGCAAACUUAUGUCAUUCAAAUGGAUCUAAAAGGAGUUCAAAAUCAUAUUCAUAUGAUCCAUAUAUAUUUGGGGCAUGCUUCAACUCAUAUGGGACAGAUUUGGUGCAACACUUGCAAUCAUAGGCUUAGGGAGCCUAAUCAAACCUAUGGGCUAAAACUACACAAAGGGAAGCCUAAAGUGAAGAUCAAGUAAGGCUUUUGUGAAGAUUCAGCUUUGUUAUGAUGGGCUUACUAUAUUUUUAUUAUUUAACACUUGUUCUAUUUUAGCUUUGUUUGGGCUUGUAUUCUGGCCAUACUUUAUCUUUUAAGUUUUAGAGUGUUGGGCCAUGUUUUAGGCUUAUGUUUUAACACUUAUGUGUUAUUUUAGUGUGUGAUUGGGCUUGGACCUUAUGUGUUUAAGUCAGGUCCAAGAAGAGUGUCUUAGGGUUUUAUUUGUUUUUCUCCUUACUAUAUAAGGAUAAGAAACAAUUGUAAGAGGCAGCUUUUAAUCAAAAUUUCAGAAUUCUUCUCAUGCCUUUGGCGUGUAUUGCUUUGAGUGAGAGUGAGGAUUUACUUUCAUCAAUUGCACCAGGAAUCUUGGCUUACUUAUCAACUAUUCGUUGUGGUGUUUGUCAGAUUCUCAUCUAAAUCCUUCGUCAUUGGUGUUUCAGCUUCUCUAAGUGUGGGGUGCCAUAGGAGGUGGGUUUAUCAAAUCUUUGGAUUCCAUAUCUACUUGUGCGUGUGGGUUUGAGGCUUGUGCCAUAGGGUUCCACGUCAGUUGGUAUCAGAGCCAAAGUGAGGUAAAUUCUAAUUUAUCUUAGGAUCUAGGGUUUUUGAGUUUUCAUUUUCUUCCUUGUUGUUUUUGGUGAAAGUUUGUGUGUCCAUGGCUGCACCUUCUUGAUUAUUAAUCAUAAAAAAAAAAAAAUUCGAAAUCCAAAAAAAAAUCGCCUUUUUCUUUUCUGAUUCUAUUUGUGGGAUUUUGAUACUUUCCUUUUUGGGUGGAUUUAAGUAGAUCCAUAUUUAAUUUGCGUUGAAGUGAAUUAAAUGCAAUAUUUUUUGUUCAAGUUCGUUUUUAUUUGAUUUCUAAGUUUCUUUUUUGGUUUAAGCUUGCUUUUGCUUCCUUUACAUUGCUGGAGCAUUGUUUGCUUGUGUCUAUACUCUAGGUGAUAUUUUUCAAGUAGCACAAAAUCUAGUUCAUGUGUUACUUUCCAAAUUGUCAGUGUCUUCUUUCUAGUUUUUGCGCGCUUCCUUCUUUCUUUAGGAUUUCUUCUUUUUUCAUUAAACGCACCUUGUGGUUAGUUGGUUGACCUUAGUUUCUGAAGUGCAAUUGAAGAAUCAGCAAAAGAAUGGUAAGAGUGCAAACACUUGAGUACUUUCUUUUUUAACACAAUAUUUGCUAGUCCUUUUUGUUCUUUGUUGAUUUAAGGUAGGAUGAGUAAAGACAAGAAUGUGGUGGAUCGUACUGAUGGAAGUGAAUCGAAUAUGGGUAACGAUUAUAAGCUCUUUAAGAAGUCAGUCAGUGGUGAGUUACAAAGGCUCAAUAAGACUCUUGAGAGGUUAACUGGAACUAUGGAGAGUUUGAAUGUCUCAC